AUUUAUGCUGUGAAGUGGUGAGGGGGUGACAUGCAUGUGUGGAAAAUACCCUAUAUUGGCCAAAACAAGAUGUAACAUUGUUUUUUUUACAUUAUAAAAUAUUCAAGCAUAUGUAUGUCAGAUUUUAUCAGUGACAUAUAUUAUGUUUUUAGAACAACAAUUUGACCUUUAUUUUUGAGUAAUCUGAUCUCUCCUCAUUUAUAGAGAUGGAAGUCUGGUCUUGUUGGUGGUGUUGCAAAGAUGGCCGCCAAGUGUGCUAGAGGCAGCUCACAAGAGACUGACAGGGGUUGUCUUAUCUGACAGUUUGUGGGUUGGAAGAAACUCCAGUUACCCAAAGGAACGCAGUGUGGUAACUCUACACUAUCUGCUUGUCAUUUAGAUACCACUCUAAUGGCGAGGCGGAAGACAGCAGGAGCAUACAUUUUGCAAGCCUUGAGAGGACGCUCUUGAGGAGAACGGAAAACAAAAUGAAUUUGCCUGUCUUAAGAAGCAGAGUCUCAGGUAACUGUCACAUCUCAAGCAGCGGCAGCCGGAGGG
This 537-nucleotide long non-coding RNA is filed under the name Astyanax mexicanus (Mexican tetra). RNAcentral describes it as "lncRNA (ENSAMXG00005024404.1)". Lineage: Eukaryota; Metazoa; Chordata; Actinopteri; Characiformes; Acestrorhamphidae. The record is from RNAcentral.